RNAcentral lists this ribosomal RNA (483 nucleotides) under uncultured bacterium. RNAcentral describes it as "partial 16S ribosomal RNA". It matches the Rfam family "Bacterial small subunit ribosomal RNA", at positions 28 to 523 of the family's 1533-position model. The record is from RNAcentral.
GACGAACGCUGGCGGCGUGCUUAACACAUGCAAGUCGAACGGUGAAAGCGGAGCUUGCUCCGCUGGAUCAGUGGCGAACGGGUGAGUAACACGUGGGCAACCUGCCCCUCACUUCGGGAUAACUCCGGGAAACCGGGGCUAAUACCGGAUAUGACCUCCUUGGGCAUCCUUGGAGGUGGAAAGUUUUUCGGUGAGGGAUGGGCCCGCGGCCUAUCAGCUUGUUGGUGAGGUAGUGGCUCACCAAGGCGACGACGGGUAGCCGGCCUGAGAGGGCGACCGGCCACACUGGGACUGAGACACGGCCCAGACUCCUACGGGAGGCAGCAGUGGGGAAUAUUGCACAAUGGGCGCAAGCCUGAUGCAGCGACGCCGCGUGAGGGAUGACGGCCUUCGGGUUGUAAACCUCUUUCAGUAGGGACGAAGCGCAAGUGACGGUACCUACAGAAGAAGGACCGGCCAACUACGUGCCAGCCGCCGCCGUAA